This 267-nucleotide long non-coding RNA is filed under the name Mytilus galloprovincialis (Mediterranean mussel). The record is from RNAcentral. Lineage: Eukaryota; Metazoa; Mollusca; Bivalvia; Mytilida; Mytilidae.
UAUCUCUGAAACUAAAGGAUUUAGAGCAAAUCUGUCAAAGGGAAAACAUGUUUAAAAGGUCAAUUUCUUUCAUUCCUGAAAGUUUCAGACAAACCGAACAACCCAUUUUGGGUUGCUGCCACUAAAUUGGUUAUUUUAAGGAAAUUGUGCAGUUUUUGGUUAUAAUCUUGAAUAUUAUUGAAGAUCAAGAUAAACUGUAAACAGCAAACAUAAUGAGCAGAGUAAGAUCUACAAAAAGUGUAUUAUGACUAAAAUUAUCAAUCGACC